Molecule: ribosomal RNA, 507 nt
Filed under: uncultured bacterium
Lineage: Bacteria
Description: bacterial SSU rRNA
Rfam family: Bacterial small subunit ribosomal RNA
Source: RNAcentral
GACGAACGCUGGCGGCGUGCCUAAUACAUGCAAGUCGAACGCACUCUCGUUUAGAUUGAAGGAGCUUGCUCCUGAUUGAUAAACAUUUGAGUGAGUGGCGGACGGGUGAGUAACACGUGGGUAACCUGCCCUAAAGUGGGGGAUAACAUUUGGAAACAGGUGCUAAUACCGCAUAAAACCUAACACCGCAUGGUGUAGGGUUGAAAGAUGGUUUCGGCUAUCACUUUAGGAUGGACCCGCGGUGCAUUAGUUAGUUGGUGAGGUAAAGGCUCACCAAGACCGUGAUGCAUAGCCGACCUGAGAGGGUAAUCGGCCACACUGGGACUGAGACACGGCCCAGACUCCUACGGGAGCAGCAGUAGGGAAUCUUCCACAAUGGACGAAAGUCUGAUGGAGCGACGCCGCGUGAGUGAAGAAGGUUUCGGAUCGUAAAACUCUGUUGUUGGAGAAGAAUGUAUCUGAUAGUAACUGAUCAGGUAGUGACGGUAUCCAACCAGAAAGCCACGG